This 1019-nucleotide long non-coding RNA is filed under the name Hordeum vulgare. Its description in RNAcentral is "long non-coding RNA (HVUL_LNC008061)". Lineage: Eukaryota; Viridiplantae; Streptophyta; Magnoliopsida; Poales; Poaceae. The record is from RNAcentral.
GAGGGGAGACAAAAUAACAUUGUCACCUAGAGACAUAGGAAGUAUCAAUAUGUGCCUAACAAAGUGCUACACCUCUGCAUAAAUAUUCAACAACUAAUGUAAAUACAAGCUAACCUUGAUUGAUCAAUGUGAGGUUGCACAUGUAAUUGAUGAGUUCCUCCUCUUGCAUACGUGGGCCAAAGUGAGAUUUGGUUUUCUUGUGCACUGAAAGCACCAUGGACAAUAAUGACUUUGGCCUUGAAGAUGAACAAAGAAAGGUAACAUGUUACUAAAAAUGAAAAAGGAUAGCAUGUUGUCCGGAUAUGCAUUGCGCUAAGGAUUCUGAUUCUUUAUAAAUAUGUUUAUUGCACGCUAGGAGUUGUGCCAAAAUCCAUAUCAUGUUCGACAGAAGCACAUGAACUGAUAGAAAAUUCAGAAUUAGAAGAAUAUGAAAAGUACCUUAUUCCUUCUCCUGGUAGAGGAGUAACUUCUUGUGCAAUCAUAUGAAAAUUGAUUUAACUGGGUGCAUGGACUCUCAGCUGGGGCACCAGAUCGGACAGAAAGAAAUUGAAAUUAAAGCACUUAUUAUAAAAGGCUUUAUACUUGACUCAAUCCAACUGGGUUUGUCCACCUGUUAGCUGACUUAGCCGGAGUUCUCGCCAGCAAUCGAUCGAGUCAUGUACCUGUAUAUAGCCUGCUUAGCAUGUAGCUUCGUAAACAUAUACCCAUCGUGUGCAUGCAUAUUCUUUGUUAUUCUAAGCCAUAUCAAUCAACGCCGGCAGCUAGUAGCAAAGCAUGUCCUUGUAUGCUAAUCCAGAUCAAACAAUUUAGUCAGCACUUUAGUACUAGCAAAGUGUGUACGUCUGCCCAGAGAAGAAUGGCUCCAGCUGCUUGCUUGCGUAGUUUUGUAGGCUUGCGUCGCUGUAACAUCGAUCGACUCACGAGAAAUCAAGCCAGUGUGAAACACCUGAGCCGCCGUCGCAGCUGGUGCCUCCUUGGACACGGCGCUCCCUUCCAACGACUGUCUCCUCUCUGCUACG